RNAcentral lists this ribosomal RNA (445 nucleotides) under uncultured Orbus sp. Its description in RNAcentral is "bacterial SSU rRNA". It matches the Rfam family "Bacterial small subunit ribosomal RNA", at positions 848 to 1293 of the family's 1533-position model. Lineage: Bacteria; Pseudomonadati; Pseudomonadota; Gammaproteobacteria; Orbales; Orbaceae. The record is from RNAcentral.
GAGUUAACGCGUUAAAUCGACCGCCUGGGGAGUACGGCUGCAAAGUUAAAACUCAGAUGAAUUGACGAGGGCCCGCACAAGCGAUGGAGCAUGUGGUUUAAUUCGAUGCAACGCGAAGAUCCUUACCUGGUCUAGACAUCCAUAGAAUCUUGCAGAGAUGCGAGAGUGCCUUCGCGAGCUAUGAGACAGGUGCUGCAUAGCUGUCGUCAGCUCGUGUUGUGAUAUGUUGGGUUAAGUCCGGCAACGAGCGCAACGCCUAUCCUUUGUUGCCAGCACGUAAUGGUGGGAACUCAUAGGAGACUGCCGUUGAUAAAGCCGAGGAAGGUGGGGAUGAGGUCAAGUCAUCAUGGCCCUUACGACCAGGGCUACACACGUGCUACAAUGGCGUAUACAUAGGGAUGCGAAGGUGCGAACUGGAGCGGACCUCACAUAGUACGUCUAAGUC